This is a non-coding RNA of Hydra vulgaris (swiftwater hydra), 416 nucleotides long. The record is from RefSeq and is a predicted model, not a curated record. NCBI's taxonomy places the organism in Eukaryota, Metazoa, Cnidaria, Hydrozoa, Anthoathecata, Hydridae.
AUUAAAUUUAAUUAAUAUUAAGAUGCAAAAACUUAUUUUUAUUGUUUAGAAAAUGAGUAGCGGUCCCUUUGUUGCUGUUGAGUUUGUUAAUGAGCAACCAGUGGAGGUAAUGCCAAAAAGAUGGAUUGUUUAUGAGAGCUAGCACAACUGCUUGGUUAUUGGCCCAGAAAGGAACCAGUGUGCAGAAUCAAAAUGAGUGAAUUACCUGAUCAAAAGUGGCUACUAUACAAAAUUAGAACUUUUGGGGCCGUAGUGGAAUUUUAUACCAAAGCAUCAGAUUUAGCUAAGAGAGCAUAGUAAUGUCAAAUGUGGAAGAUACUGAUAUAAACAAAGAGACUUCUUCUGAUAUUGAAGAUGGUAUGUAGUUGGAUAAAUUAUAUACUGUAGCAUGAUUUUACUUACACUAGUAUUUAUAA